Hippocampus comes (tiger tail seahorse) is the source of this 290-nucleotide long non-coding RNA. RefSeq lists it as uncharacterized. The record is from RefSeq and is a predicted model, not a curated record. Lineage: Eukaryota; Metazoa; Chordata; Actinopteri; Syngnathiformes; Syngnathidae. The transcript has 2 exons.
UGUGUGAUAAAUAUGCAAAGAACACAGAAAUCAGGAAAGAGGGCAAAUACUUUUUCACGCCACUGUACGUGGUCCAGUCCAGUCCCAAACACCCGCUAAUAGCAGAGGUCAACUGUACAGAAACUAAACAAAUUGUUCAAAUAGAUUCGAUAGAUUGGUCUGAUCAGAUAGGUGAUCGGUUAUCGUUUUUUUGUUUCAUUACGUUAUUUUAACUGUGCUUCCGUCAUCGCUUCCAUCAAUAGAUUUCAUCGGUCCGUCAGUCAAAAAAAAAAAAAAAGUCAAGUCAAGCA